Molecule: long non-coding RNA, 390 nt
Filed under: Oryctolagus cuniculus (rabbit)
Lineage: Eukaryota; Metazoa; Chordata; Mammalia; Lagomorpha; Leporidae
Description: lncRNA (ENSOCUG00000030132.1)
Source: RNAcentral
AUGGCGCGACCAGAGGCCUGGAGGAGGGGCUCUGUCUUGGAGCGCCCCCUGCCGGCUGGAGGACCGCGUCAGUCAUGGAAAAACAGGCAUGAAUUCUACUGCUCCAGUGUCUCUGUCAGCCACCUCUCUCAGAGGACAAAGGCCACUUCUACCCGGUUCCCUGCCCUGCUGAGAGCCCCACCGCCUUCCAUGCCAACUCAGCACCUCCUUCCCAUGAUGCACUUGAACCUCAUUCCUCCAUUGGGCGGAAGACAGCUUGAAGAGCAUGUGUACGUGCUGAGCUGCAACGGAGAUACCAUGAAACCUUCCAAGAGGAUCAACACGCACACUGAACCCUGCCCAAACUCCGCCCCAUGUGUAUAUUCAACCAGUGCACUCCCUACCCCAUAA